GCUUCCUUCAGCAGCACAUAUUCUAAAAUUGAAAUGAAACAGAAGAUUAGCAUGGCCCCUGUGCAAGAACAACAUACAAAUGUGUGAAACGUUCCAUAAUUUU
Molecule: small nuclear RNA, 103 nt
Organism: Sorex fumeus (smoky shrew)
Lineage: Eukaryota; Metazoa; Chordata; Mammalia; Eulipotyphla; Soricidae
Source: RefSeq, a predicted model, not a curated record